This 433-nucleotide ribosomal RNA is filed under the name Corbicula largillierti. RNAcentral's name for it is "partial 16S ribosomal RNA". It matches the Rfam family "Bacterial large subunit ribosomal RNA", at positions 1817 to 2557 of the family's 2925-position model. Lineage: Eukaryota; Metazoa; Mollusca; Bivalvia; Venerida; Cyrenidae. The record is from RNAcentral.
GGCCUUUUGGAGAUUUAUAUAAAAGGUUGGGCCUGCCCGGUGAUCUGAAAUGGUUUAACGGCUGCGAUUGAAACCGUACUAAGGUAGCAUAGUAAUUUGCCCUUUAAUUGGGGGAGAGAAUGAAUGGUUUGACGGUAAAAAAGCUGUUUUAAAAAUAAAAAAAGAAGUUAACUUUUAAGUGAAAAGGCUUAAGUUUUUAUAAAAGACGAGAAGACCCCGUCGAGCUUAAUUAGAAUAACUUAAGUGUAGGUUAUUUAAAAUUUUAUUGGGGCAAUAGAAAAUGAAAUGAAUCAUUUUUUUUAUUAUAAGGAUCCAGUUUUGACUGAAAAAAGCAAAAGCUACCGCGGGGAUAACAGGGUAAUUUUUUCUGAGAGUUCAUAUUUAAGAAGAAGUUUGCUACCUCGAUGUUGGAUUAGAAUUUCUUUAUGCUUGC